CCCUGCCCUUUGUACACACCGCCCGUCGCUCCUACCGAUUGGGUGUGCUGGUGAAAAUGUCGGAUUGGCUCUGGUUGGUGGCAACACCCGCCUGAGCCGAGAAGAUCUUUAAACCCUCCCACCUAGAG
Molecule: ribosomal RNA, 128 nt
Filed under: uncultured eukaryote
Lineage: Eukaryota
Description: partial small subunit ribosomal RNA
Rfam family: Eukaryotic small subunit ribosomal RNA
Source: RNAcentral